Molecule: small nuclear RNA, 310 nt
Filed under: Jaculus jaculus (lesser Egyptian jerboa)
Lineage: Eukaryota; Metazoa; Chordata; Mammalia; Rodentia; Dipodidae
Description: 7SK RNA (ENSJJAG00000007812.1)
Rfam family: 7SK RNA
About the family: 7SK was discovered as an abundant small nuclear RNA in the mid-70s but a possible function has only recently been suggested. Two independent studies have found that 7SK RNA binds the CDK9/cyclin T complex (known as elongation factor P-TEFb).
Source: Rfam by way of RNAcentral
GGAUGUGAGGGCGAUCUGGAUGCGACAUCUGUCACCCCAUUAUUCUCCAGGGUUGAUUCGGCUAAUCUGGCUGGCUAGGCAGGUGUCCCCUUCCUCCCUCACCACUCCAUGUGCAUCCCUCCCGAAGCUGCGCGCUCAGUCGAAGAGGACGACCUUCCCCGAAUAGAGGAAGGUCUUCGGUCAAGGGUAUACAAGUAGCUGCGCUCCCCUGCUAGAACCUCCAAACAAGCUCUCAAAGGGGAAAGUGGGGGGGGGGAGGGUAUUACCAUGGAUUAUUUUUUAUAAUCAUGGAAGUUGUUAAUAAAAAUGU